AACGAACGCUGGCGGCAUGCUUAACACAUGCGAGUCGAACGAGACCUUCGGGUCUAGUGGCGCACGGGUGCGUAACGCGUGGGAAUCUGCCCCUCGGUUCGGAAUAACAGUUAGAAAUGACUGCUAAUACCGGAUGAUGACUUCGGUCCAAAGAUUUAUCGCCGAGGGAUGAGCCCGCGUAAGAUUAGGUAGUUGGUGGGGUAAAGGCCUACCAAGCCGACGAUCUUUAGCUGGUCUGAGAGGAUGAUCAGCCACACUGGGACUGAGACACGGCCCAAACUCCUACGGGAGGCAGCAGUGGGGAAUCUUGCGCAAUGGGCGAAAGCCUGACGCAGCCAUGCCGCGUGAAUGAUGAAGGUCUUAGGAUUGUAAAAUUCUUUCACCGGGGACGAUAAUGACGGUACCCGGAGAAGAAGCCCCGGCUAACUUCGUGCCAGCCGCCGCUGUAA
Molecule: ribosomal RNA, 449 nt
Filed under: uncultured bacterium
Lineage: Bacteria
Description: partial 16S ribosomal RNA
Rfam family: Bacterial small subunit ribosomal RNA
Source: RNAcentral